CCUUGACGAGCCCCUAGCUAGAUCUCUCUCUCUAUAUCUAUAUAAAGAGGAAAAUUUUGAAGGACAAGGAGAAAAUAAAGGAGAAGUUAGAGAUAGAGAUAGAUCGUGGCUGAUGCGAACAAAACAAGCUGGGAAAUGUUUGACAAAUUCAUCUUUAACACGGACUUCUUUCACCGCAGAUUGGGGUGCUGAUGAGGGAUAUGAUGAUGAUUGUGGGAAGGUAAACUGCUGCUGCUGAUGUUCAUCGGUUCUUAUCACUCGAGUAAGAGCAGUAACCAUGGCCGUCAUAUCAUCUGAUUCAGGCCAUGAAGCUGCUGCUGCUGCUAAUUUACUCUUCUCCUCCGAUGUUUCGGAUGGAAGCGGACGUUUUCCAUGUCUUCGAUCCACCUUUUCUUUCCCAGAAAAAAGCUAAUAAAACUAUGUAAAGAUGAUUGAGAUUAAGACAGGAGCGGAUCAAAGACAGUGAGGGUGCAAAAUUAUUUGGGGCUAAAUCUAUAUAAUGGGGGAUACGGGGGAGGAUGUUUUGGAAGAGGACAUUUUCGGGUUUUACUGGAUCGGACUUCUUCCGGAUUUCUCUUUUUAUCUCUCAAUUUAUAAGAAUAAAUAAAAAUUACUAAAUACAUAUUUUAGUGUUUAAA
This is a long non-coding RNA of Hibiscus syriacus, 638 nucleotides long. RefSeq lists it as uncharacterized. NCBI's taxonomy places the organism in Eukaryota, Viridiplantae, Streptophyta, Magnoliopsida, Malvales, Malvaceae. The transcript has 2 exons. The record is from RefSeq and is a predicted model, not a curated record.